RNAcentral lists this small nuclear RNA (64 nucleotides) under Erinaceus europaeus (western European hedgehog). Lineage: Eukaryota; Metazoa; Chordata; Mammalia; Eulipotyphla; Erinaceidae. The record is from RNAcentral.
CAGAAGAUUAGUAUGACCUCUGCACAAGGAUAAUAUGCAAAUUCGUGAAGCUUUCUAUAUUAAU